CCUACGGGAGGCAGCAGUGAGGAAUAUUGGUCAAUGGGCGGAAGCCUGAACCAGCCAAGUAGCGUGCAGGAUGACGGCUUUCGGGUUGUAAACUUCUUUUGUCAGGGAAGAGUAGAAGACGGUACCUGACGAAUAAGCCACGGCUAACUACGUGCCAGCAGCCGCGGUAAUACGUAGGUGGCAAGCGUUGUCCGGAUUUACUGGGUGUAAAGGGCGUGUAGCCGGGUUGACAAGUCAGAUGUGAAAUCCUGCGGCUUAACCGCAGAACUGCAUUUGAAACUGUUGAUCUUGAGUACUGGAGAGGCAGAUGGAAUUCCUAGUGUAGCGGUGAAAUGCGUAGAUAUUAGGAGGAACACCAGUGGCGAAGGCGGUCUGCUGGACAGCAACUGACGGAGAGGCGCGAAAGCGUGGGGAGCAAACAGGAUUAGAUACCCGAGUAGUC
Molecule: ribosomal RNA, 442 nt
Filed under: uncultured bacterium
Lineage: Bacteria
Description: partial 16S ribosomal RNA
Rfam family: Bacterial small subunit ribosomal RNA
Source: RNAcentral